UCGGUAAAAUUUAUUCGUAUUAAAAAUUCAAUUUAAUCAAUAUUUGAAUAGUAUAUUUUGUUCAUAAGACUUUUUUUUCUAAAUAUUAUUAACCUCUUAAUGGGCUAUGUCAAAGCGGGCUACAAGGCCCAACAAAGCAACAUAGAAAAGAAAAGAAAUAACGGAUCAGCUAGGCGGAAGCGAGGCUCAGAUCCGGGUUAGCUACCGGAGACAUCGGCUCCCGUCAAGUAAGUCCGGCGUUAACAAAGGGGACUACUUUGCUCCACUUUCAGCGAUUCCAGUUCUUGACCGGAGCUAACCAAUCCGGACCGAAUCCCUAAAUUCACCGACAGAUCAUACCCGCAACACCCUUUCCGGACAAGCAAACCGAAAAUAACCGGACUCACCACCUCCUUCUUGUCUCGAACCUAGCAACAAAAAAGAUUUCGUAUCUAACCCCUCGCCGCCUGCGCCAUCGAUCCGAGAGGCUGAAUCCUUACCUGCACCUGCUUCAAACCGGGAGAGACGAAAACCAACUCGGCAGCAAUAAAGGAUGUUGGCUCAAACAGCACCGAAUCGCCAAACCUCGAGUCAGGCAUGACAGAUCUGAGCAAAUCUUCCGCUAAUUGCCUCAACAAAGGUGAAAACCCGCCGAUCCAACCCUAAACUUCCGCCGCCCUCCACGAAUUCGGACCUGUCUCUGUGAGCCCAGCCACCUUAAGCCUAACCACUGAGUCUUCAACAAUGGUAAGACAACAAAGGAAGCUUCCAGAUCCGGAGUCACGACUACGAAGAGCAUCAAGGGAGAAUUAACCACACCACUACACCACCAAAGAAGCAGGGCCAGCUUUGCCUAAGAUAAAGAACAAGAAAACUUUAAUGGGAGGGAGGAGAGCAGACUACAACCAGAAAAACCAGCUGCAAAAGAGAUCUCCUCCCUCGAUCUAUUUUGUGCGGCUAGGGUUUCUAUUUUCCGUUUUGAAAAAUUCAAAUUGCAACAUAUUCAAAAAAAAAAGUUAAAUUUUUAUUCAACAUUUGUAAUAUAUAUUUUAAUAUAAUAAAUUAAAAAUAAGAUCAAAUAAAGGUGAAAGGAGAAUAAUCAUUGCUUUUAUUUAGGGGGUUUGCAC
RNAcentral lists this long non-coding RNA (1106 nucleotides) under Capsella rubella. RNAcentral describes it as "long non-coding RNA (CRUB_LNC003800)". Lineage: Eukaryota; Viridiplantae; Streptophyta; Magnoliopsida; Brassicales; Brassicaceae. The record is from RNAcentral.